GACGAACGCUGGCGGCGUGCCUAAUACAUGCCAGUUGAGCGCUGAAGGUUGGUACUUGUACCAACUGGAUGAGCAGCGAACGGGUGAGUAACGCGUGGGGAAUCUGCCUUUGAGCGGGGGACAACAUUUGGAAACGAAUGCUAAUACCGCAUAAAAACUUUAAACACAAGUUUUAAGUUUGAAAGAUGCAAUUGCAUCACUCAAAGAUGAUCCCGCGUUGUAUUAGCUAGUUGGUGAGGUAAAGGCUCACCAAGGCGAUGAUACAUAGCCGACCUGAGAGGGUGAUCGGCCACAUUGGGACUGAGACACGGCCCAAACUCCUACGGGAGGCAGCAGUAGGGAAUCUUCGGCAAUGGACGAAAGUCUGACCGAGCAACGCCGCGUGAGUGAAGAAGGUUUUCGGAUCGUAAAACUCUGUUGGUAGAGAAGAACGUUGGUGAGAGUGGGAAGCUCAUCAAGUGACGGUAACUACCCAGAAAGGGACGGCUAACUACGUG
This 497-nucleotide ribosomal RNA is filed under the name uncultured bacterium. Its description in RNAcentral is "partial 16S ribosomal RNA". It matches the Rfam family "Bacterial small subunit ribosomal RNA", at positions 28 to 507 of the family's 1533-position model. The record is from RNAcentral.